Molecule: ribosomal RNA, 529 nt
Filed under: Aspergillus flavus
Lineage: Eukaryota; Fungi; Ascomycota; Eurotiomycetes; Eurotiales; Aspergillaceae
Description: eukaryotic LSU rRNA
Rfam family: 5.8S ribosomal RNA (bases 156-309)
Source: RNAcentral
ACCUCCCACCCGUGUUUACUGUACCUUAGUUGCUUCGGCGGGCCCGCCAUUCGUGGCCGCCGGGGGCUCUCAGCCCCGGGCCCGCGCCCGCCGGAGACACCACGAACUCUGUCUGAUCUAGUGAAGUCUGAGUUGAUUGUAUCGCAAUCAGUUAAAACUUUCAACAAUGGAUCUCUUGGUUCCGGCAUCGAUGAAGAACGCAGCGAAAUGCGAUAACUAGUGUGAAUUGCAGAAUUCCGUGAAUCAUCGAGUCUUUGAACGCACAUUGCGCCCCCUGGUAUUCCGGGGGGCAUGCCUGUCCGAGCGUCAUUGCUGCCCAUCAAGCACGGCUUGUGUGUUGGGUCGUCGUCCCCUCUCCGGGGGGGACGGGCCCCAAAGGCAGCGGCGGCACCGCGUCCGAUCCUCGAGCGUAUGGGGCUUUGUCACCCGCUCUGUAGGCCCGGCCGGCGCUUGCCGAACGCAAAUCAAUCUUUUUCCAGGUUGACCUCGGAUCAGGUAGGGAUACCCGCUGAACUUAAGCAUAUCAAUA